UCUGGGAUUAGAUACCCUGUUAUUUAAAAUGUUUAUUUAUUUACUUGAGUAGUAAUAGUUAUGUUCUUUAAACUUAAAAAAUUUGGCGGUAUUUUAGUCUAUUCAGAGGAACCUGUUUUAUAAUCGAUAAUCCACGAUGUACCUCACUUAAAUUUGUUAAUUAAUUUGUAUACCGUCGUUAUUAGAAUAUUUUAUAAGAAUAAAUAAUUUUCAAUAAUUUUUAAAAAAAUUAAUGUCAGAUCAAGGUGCAGUUUAUGUUUAAGUAAUAAUGGGUUACAAUAAAUUUAUUUAUAUGGAUAUAAUUAUGAAAAAAUUAUUGAAAGUGGAUUUGAUAGUAAAAUUAAAUAGAUUAUUAAUUUGAUUAUAGCUCUAAAAUAUGUACAAAUCGCCCGUCACUCUCUGA
RNAcentral lists this ribosomal RNA (403 nucleotides) under Platypezina connexa. Its description in RNAcentral is "partial 12S ribosomal RNA". Lineage: Eukaryota; Metazoa; Arthropoda; Insecta; Diptera; Platypezidae. The record is from RNAcentral.